AAAAAAAGAAGAAAUUAAUUUACAAAACAUACGAUUGAUUGGUCUUGAUGUGAGCAAAAGUAACUAAGUAGAAAUUCAUGUUUGGAGAGCAAAUAAAACAACAAAAUCACUGAAAUAAGUAAUAUCAAAAUCACUAGUGUAAGUAAUACCACCGACUGUUUACUGAAAAAAAAGUAAAAGAGAUUUCCCAAAAAUCACAAGUCAAAUUUUAUGAAGAAAUUGCGGCCCAUUAUAACAGUUUCUGGUUGCUCCAGUAGUCUCAAAACUCGGUUUCUAGAAACCACAGAAAUGUCCGCAGUUUCUGGCCACACUUU
This 314-nucleotide long non-coding RNA is filed under the name Mytilus galloprovincialis (Mediterranean mussel). Lineage: Eukaryota; Metazoa; Mollusca; Bivalvia; Mytilida; Mytilidae. The record is from RNAcentral.